CAAUCGUCCGUCUCCCACACCAAGCAGUCGUCCGUCUCCUCCGUCUCCAACACAAUCCGCCGCCGCUUUCUCCUCCCAUCCCCGUCUCACAUCCCGUCGCUUCCGCCGUCGGCCGAUUGAGUGUUUCCCGAAUUGUUCGUCCGCCGUCCCUCCCCGCACUCAGGCACGCGUACACCCAUCUUCCUCGCUCGCCUGGUUCCGUGGUUCGUGUACGAUUCAGAGCGGAGUAGGGGAUCAAUUGAUGUCAGGUUCGGCUUCCAUCCAAACCGGCCGCCGGCCAGUCCACCGAGGGGAGAGCCCAGAUUGUCCACGCGAAACCCUAGACCCCGCGCGCGUACCAUCUCCGCCGCCUCGCCCAGUUCUUGCUCGCCUCAGCUCGCGGGGAUGGAGCAGGACGCGCCGCCCGUCCCCUCGCACCAGGCCCAGGACGGCGGCGCCGUGGACGGCUGGGCGCGGAAUGACAGCGAGCCCCCUCCCGUACGGCGCUCAGGCGGAGUGCCCCGAGGUCGUAGAUCCUCCUCCUUGCCGGCGCUUCCGCGGCCACGUCUCCACUGCCGCCUCCGCGUGUGCGACCCUCAACGACGACUCAGUGGGGAGGAGCCCUGCGACGACCUCGACGACGCCUGCUCCCCCGACCACAACCGCUGCGUCCAAGAAAGCCACAUGGAUUGGGGAUAUGUACCUCGGUUUGGGUUUAAAGGGGCAAUCUUUGAGCAUUUGUAUAUCAACUAUCGAGGAUCUCAGGUUGACAUGGACCGCACUAUGAUCAAGUGCAUUCUGGUGCUAUGAUGAUUGUGACAGAAGAUGUUAGCUGUAGAAGCAAUCGCUAUGUCUCAGCUCCAAUAUUAAAAAUCAGUGCACCUGAAUUACGACACAAUUUUUGUCAUCUGGAACUGCACUUAUAAGGUGUUUGGUCUGAAAGCUACACUCCUGAAUACAAUGUGAUAUAAAAGGUUCAUGAAAUCAUCAGGUAUGGAAAUGCUUGACCGUUUUUGUAAAUUACUUAGUACAAUAUUAUCAGUUUGUUUUUUGCAUUAUUUCCCAGUUCUCUUGCAGUACUAUUCAACAACCUAUCUUCCUGCCUACUAGAUAAAAGAGGGGUUUUGUUUACUUAACAUGGUUGCCUGAUUAACAUAGUCAUGGUUUCUGUUAGUUAUUUUUUCCACUACCGUAGCAACAACUUAUCUUCCUACCUACCAGAUAUACUACUCCUUGAUUGCUUAGCUCCCGGUUUAAGAAGCUCCACCAUUCUUUUAUAUGAUAUUAGAAAAAAGUUGAGUUCUAACUUUGUUGAAAGGCACACACAGUUCUGAUGUUCUGGGGCCAAUGUUCAUUUCUAGAGGCAAAUACUCCCGGAUUUCUUAGUGAACUAUAAUCCCAUCUAGAUAACCCCCCUCGAUAUAGCUCCCUUUAUUUGCACGACACAAUCUAGCAUAUGACGGCUAUGAUUUGGAUUGUGUGUGUUUCUCCAAAAACUAGGAUUAUAUGCCUGAGAACAAACAAAUAAAGUUAUAAACUUACCUCAAAGCCUAUGGGUUGACUGAAGAUUGAUAAAUAGUUUCAGAUGCGAUAUGGUCUCAUAACAGUAGAAAUAAACUUCGAGGGAAAGAGAACCAUAAGUAUAGGUGACUGCAUAGUAGAAGACGUGUAAUCGUGUUGCACUAUACUGUCUUUAUAGAAGCCGACAAAAUCAGAGACAUCCUAAAUUUGGUUUUCUGUUCUUGUCAGUUAAGAAAAGAAACAUUUACUCUUGGAUUAUCAGUAAGGGAAUAUGCCUUAUUAGCAUACUCUUAUGGUGGUUAUUAUUGGUCAACGUUGUGAGGAAAAAGAAGAAUAUUCAGAUUUUUCUAUUUGUGGUUAUAUCUUUUGGAUAAACAAUAGAAGGGUAAACUGCAAAGAAGAAACAUAACGACCACCAGUAGUUAUAUCUUUAUUUUGAAUUAAACUAAAGUUGUCAUGAUUGCAAUAUUUUAGAAUAUUCAGAUUUGUUCAAGAUUUAUGGUGAUUAUCACAUUAACUCUGAAACUGAACUAUUUGUGUCGGGCCAGAGAAGCGUAAUUUCAAUACAAACUGCAAUUGCUUGCGCAAGAGAAAUCAACUCAAUACUACAAUUUUCCAUAUGAAUGUAGUAAGAGGGGGCGUACCAUUGUAAACCGAUGUAGGGUGAAGGCUAGCCGCAUCUUUGGCGUGUGGUCAAACCCGACAAGCUGCAACUAUGUGGAGCAUCCACAUUACUGCCACCACAUGCUUGCUAAAACAGUUAAUAUGUUCGUCCCCGUACAUCGGCCACAUCUUCGGUGAGCAUGCUUGAUGGCAAAAUCGGGAAACUAUUGUUGUAUUGAGUAUCCAGAGGUGAUAACCGUCAUGAAAAUCACUGCAUGGAUCGAUGAUAUCCCACACGGGCAUCUCAACAGUUCUAUUUGGGCCUCAUUCCCCUAACACGCUAGUAAUUGUCUCCUUUCGUGUAUUUCUCUUAGUCUCACACCCAAACACUUCAUGAUCUGAGAGAGGGAAUGCCAACAGCCAUGGCGGCAGUGUCCCCUCCGUCCAUUCAUGCAACUUGAGAGGCUCUAGCGAUGACACGUGAGAGGCAUCGGCGUCACUAAGUUUGCCACCAUCCUAGCCGCGACGACAAUGCGAUAGAGCAUAUAGUGGAGGGCAGAGAAAGAUAGUCGAGGGAGAUGGCUCAUCAGAAGAAUCCAGAACACGUGGAUGACCAGUGUAGUAGAGAAGAGGAUGAGGGGGAAUUACUAGGGAAGCCCAAGGGGACAAGCCAAGUGAGGUAGCCUCAGGUAAUGAACAAGGCGGGGAAGCCGCAUGUGAUGACGAACUUGAUAAAGAAGCCAUUAGAGGUAGAAGAAACUUCAAUCCCUAGGAAGUAGCGAAGAGGACCAAGAUUAGACAUAAGAAAUCCACUAUGAUGAGCCUUCACAAAGGCAAAUGUACUUAGAGCCAUAGCCAGUGUUAUCGAGAUAUAGAAGAAGAGUUCGACCAUGAGUUGAAAGGUGGACAAGUGUAGGAUCAUGAGCAUCGAAAACUAGCCGUAGUCACCAUCGAGACGAAACGUUCACAAACCAGGCAUGAGAGGUUUGGUUAAGGCCAUAAAAAAGUGACGAAGAAGACAAACCAUGUCAUCAAGAAGAGAAUACCCAGGUGGUGGCUACAUGUAGACCUCAUGCAACUCAACAUUAAGGAAGGCAUUCCUGACAUCAAGCCGAGAGACAGACCAGUGGCGAACAUAAGCCACAAUGAGAAGUGUGCGAAGGCCACGGGAGCAAAUGCUCAUUGUAGUCUUGGCCAUGUUCCCAAGGAAAGCCUUGCACCACUAGAUGAGCUUUGUAACACUCAAGAGAACCAUUAGUGUAUUAACAUUAUAGACACACUUACAAGCGAUGGGACGAGCACAGGGAGGAAGAGAAAUGACAUCCCAUGUGCCGAUGCGCACAAGAGCAACAAUCGCAUGCCGCCAUUCGGGAUGAACAGAUGCGUCAUGAUAAAAAGUCGUCUCGAGAAAAGCGGCGCCAGAAUAACCAUAGUGGUCAAUAGGCGGAAGCGAGAGCUCGAAAGCCAUAAGUAGGCUGAGCUGGAGGCGAUGCAUUGCCAACAGGAGAGGACAUUGUAGUAGAUGGAGAUGGCUCGUCAGAAGGAUCCAUAACACGCGGACCACAAGUGUAGUGAAGAAGAUGAUGAAGGGGAAUCAUUGGGGAAGCCUCAUGGACGAGCCAGGUGAGGUAGCCUCAAGUAAUGAACGAGGUGGGGAAGCCACAUGUGACGACGUGUGGGGUCACAUAUUGUAGUAGAUGGAGCUUUGUAACACGCUGGGAUAGGUGGGCGAGGGCAAUAAAUGAGCGAUAAGUGUAUCGGGAAAAUUGAGGGAAGUAUCCUCAAUUGGGGGGGGGGGGGGCGAAGCAGAGGAUGGACGUGCAUAAAAAGGAUGAGACUCAAUGAGAAGUCACAUAUCGAGAAAUGCGCAUACGAUGACUGACAAGAUCCCAACACUGAUAGCCCUUGUGCUCAUCACUGUAACCUAAGAAUACAUUCAACAGAUUGAUCAGACAAUUUGGUGCAUGAAGAACGUAGCAAACACAACCAAACAAAGUGUUUAGUACUCCAUCCGUCUGAAAAUACUUGUCAGAGAAAUGGAUGCAUCUAGACAUAUUUUAGUUCUAGAUACGUCCAUUUUUAUCCAUCGGGGGGGGGGGGGGGCGAAGCAGAGGAUGGACGUGCAUAAAAAGGAUGAGAUUCAAUGAGAAGUCGCAUCUCGAGAAAUGCGCAUCCGACGACUGACAAGAUCCCAACACCGAUAGCCCUUGUGCUCAUCACUGUAACCUAAGAAGGCAUUCAACAGAUUGAUCGGACAGUUUGGUGCGUGAAGAACGUAGCAAACGCAACCAAACAAAGUGUUUAGUAAUCCAUCCGUCCGAAAAUACUUGUCGGAGUAAUGGAUGUAUGUAGACAUAUUUUAGUUCUAGAUACAUCCUUUGUAUCCAUUUGUGCGACAAGCAAUUCUGGACGAAGGGAGUUGUCAGGGGAAUGCCCACAAAGACGCCCGGAAUGUCACCAUGUAGAGCAAAGGAGGGAUGAUUAUUGAUGAGGUAGGUGGCUACGAUCAUCAACGCACUAGCCGCCUCAUGAAGGUGGCGAUGCUUGCGCUUAGCAACACCAUUCUGACCACGAGCACAAGACGAGAACCGAGCAAGUGUGCUUUUCUCAACAAGGAAUUCGUGCAGCAAAUGAGGGAUAUACACACAAGCAGAAUCUACACGAAAGACAUGGAUAUGAGUGGAAAACUGAGUAUGAACCAAGGUGGCAGACUUCUUAUAGAUAGACCUCACUACAAGAAGGCAUAAAAUAUAUCGACUUGUGUCAAGCGAUGGCCUCCUUUCAAGGCAAAGGCAGCUGGAUCCCAAACAUCAGAGUGAACAAGAUCGAAAGGACGUCGAGACAGAGUCUCGCUCUAAGGAUAAGGCAAUUGAACGUGUUUACCCAACUAACAAUCUUGACUGUCUAAAGACACAUUACCAGAGACAGAUCAAAGGAGACCACGUCGUACUAAGGAUGAGAGUCAAGAACCACACAUGCGACUGGGACGAUCAUGCCAGAACGAGUGGGUAGACGAGGUAAGUGAGUCGAAGGGACUGGCGGCGGGUGUAGCAGAGGGAAGGCGAAGCCUGGCACACUCCAGAGGGCGCGUGACUCAUAGCGCUGAGGGCCAACACCAAGUAGAGAACCCGUGUGCCGAUCCUAAAUCGGAACAAGAGUCGAAGUUGAGAAUGACCCUACAACCAAAUUAAAAAUCUAACCUCCUGAAAUGAGCUGACUGUUAAGUAUCAUUAGCAGUAAGAACAUGUACAUGAGAAUUUAGAGGGCCAUUGCGGUCUCGACUGCUUGUGCGGCUAUGGCGGCGCGCAGCAGGUAACACGAGAUGUGGGAUUGAGGCGUCACACAUAGCAGGCGAAGGAUGCCCAGCUGGACUGGUAGGGAGCAGAGAGUACACGUGAGGUGUGGCAAAUCUGGUAUCUGCAUGUGGGUUUGUUACUAGGCUUGGUUGGAUCAUAGUUAUGAUUUGUGAUAGAUUCCUUCCUUUGAAGAUUGAAGCAGGAGAACUUUAGGGUGUAGUAUGAUCAACCUGAGAUAUAUCGGAUUUAUAUAGGUAUAGUAUGAUUGGCAUGAGUGUGGUAUUGGUGGACUAUUGGAUCAUCUUGGAUAUUACUACUUGGAUUCUAGGUUGGAGGUAACUUGGGCAUUUGGAUUUGUGAUAUUUUGACCUAAGCUUAGUAGCUUGUAUGUGCACCAUAUGGAUAUGGGCAUGUAGAUGAUAAAUGGAUCGGAGUUGGUAGACUUUGAUGAUUUUGCUAGCCCUCCUCAUAUGUAUUGGACUUAGAUAACUAUGGUACUAGGCUUGGUUGGAUCAUAGUUAUGAUUUGUGCUGGAUUCCUUCUUUUGAAGAUUGAAGCUGGAGAACUUUAGGGUGUAGAGUUAUCAACGUGAGAUAUAUCGGAUUUAUAUAGGUAUAGUAUGAUUGAAAUGAGUGUGGUAUUGGUUGACUAUUGGAUCAUCUUGCAUAUUGCUACUUGAAUUCUAGGUUUAAGAUAACUUGGGCACUUGGAUUUGUGAUAUUUUGACCUAAGCUUAGUAGCUUGUAUGUGCCCCAUAUGAAUAUGAGCCAUGGAGAUGAUACAAAUGGAUAGGAGUUGGUAGACUUCGAUAAUUUUGCUAACCAUCCCCAAAAAUGUUAUAUACAAGAUCAUCAUGGUCGUGGAGGGAAAACUAGGCAUGACUCAACCCAAUGUAUAAUAAGAAAUAUGAUUUUGACCUUGCGAAUGGAAAUACAUGAACAUGCAGCGCCAACGGAAAAAAAUGUUAAUUUAGGGGAUUCUGGUACGAAGCCACCUUGCAAGAGGAUAUUGAGUGCAGGCAACCCUACGUUGGUGAAGGACCCUUCCUUGGCGUCGGGGGAAAUGAAGUGACAGGGGUAUUAAGACCGUGAGGGCAAAAUUGGGACAAGUGACUCAGCUCAGGGUUCCUCUUUGCAAGUUCAAGUGAAAAGGCAGAGGAUGGCAGGGCGUGCCGCUCUUGAUAGUGUUUUCAUUGCUUCUUCAUACCUCUCGUGCACUCUCCGUUUCCCGCCGAUUCGACUUGGCGUCCUUACCUUGUUUGAGGGUUAUGUGUCACGGACUUGGUUCCGCAUCCCACGUUCCCUUGCUGGGAGUCCCUAGCCUUGGCAACAGGUAGCGACGUGCACUUGGGCGCUUGGCGUCCUUGCGUAAGUUCGGGGGCGGUGCCCAAGCUUGCAGCUAUGGCGACAACUUGCAUGGGAGCAGAUGAUGUAGGAACAAGGCAGCACACGAGUAACUCGCAGCCAGGGAAAUGAUACCUAGCCGGACAUGCAGGCAGUGGAGAGUACACGGGAGGUGUGGGUAGGGGUGAAAACGCUGCAGGGAGCGUACUGCUGCUGCCGUUAGUUAGCCUUUAGAUCCUGAGCCGAGUGGCGAGGGUAUGACGAUAGGGGAAGCGGGGAAGAUUCCGUCCUUUGAAGAUUGAAGAUGGAGAACUUUAGGGUGUAGUAUGAUCAACCUGAGAUAUAUCGGAUUUAUGAUUGGCAUGAGUGUGGUAUUGGUGGACUAUUGGAUCAUCUUGGAUAUUACUACUUGGAUUCUAGGUUGGAGGUAUCUUGGGCACUUGGAUUUGUGAUAUUUUGACCUAAGCUUAAUAGCUUGUAUAUGCCCCAUUGGAUCAUCUUGGAUAUUACUACUUGGAUUCUAGGUUGGAGGUAACUUGGGCACUUGGAUUUGUGAUAUUUUAACCUAAGCUUAGUAGCUUGUAUGUGCCCCAUAUAUGGAUAUGAGCAUGGAGAUGAUACAAACGGAUCGGAGUUGGUAGACUUUGAUGAUUUUGCUAGCCCUCCCCAUAUUUAUUGGACUUAGAUAACUAUGAUACUAGGCUUGGAUUAUAAUUAUGAUUUUUGCUAGAUUCCUUUGAAGAUUGAAGCUGGAGAACUUUAGGGUGUAGUAUGAUCAACUUGAGAUAUAUCAGAUUUAUAUAGGUAUAUAUGAUUGGCAUGAGUGUGGUAUUGGUGGACUAUUGGAUCAUCUUGGAUAUCACUACUUGGAUUCUAGGUUGGAGGUAACUUGGGCACUUGGAUUUGUGAUAUUUUUACCUAAACUUAGUAGCUUGUAUGUGCCCCAUAUGGAUAUGAGCAUGGAGAUGAUACAAAUGGAUCGGAGUUGGUAGACUUUGAUGAUUUUGCUAGCCCUCCUCAUGUGUAUUGGAUUUAGAUAACUAUGAUACUAGGCUUGGUUGGAUCAUAGUUAUGAUUUUGUGCUAGAUUCCUUUGAAGAUUGAAGCUGGAGAACUUUAGGGUGUAAUAUGAUCAACCUGAGAUAUAUCAGAUUUAUAUAUGUAUAGUAUGAUUGGCAUGGGUGCGAUAUUGGUGCACUAUUGGAUUAUCUUGGAUAUUACUACUUGAAUUCUAGGUUGGAGAUAACUUGGGCACUUGGAUUUGUGAUAUUUUGACCUAAGCUUAGUAGCUUGUAUAUGCUCCAUAUGGAUAUGAGCUUGGAGAUGAUACAGAUGGAUCGGAGUUGGUAGACUUUGAUGAUUUUGCUAGCCCUCCCCAUAUGUAUUGGACUUGGAUAACUAUGAUACUAGGCUUGGUUGGAUUAUAGUUAUGAUUUUUGCUAGAUUGCUUUGAAGAUUGAAGCUGGAGAACUUUAGGGUGUAGUAUGAUCAACUUGAGAUAUAUCAGAUUUAUAUCGGUAUAUAUGAUUGGCAUGAGUGUGUUAUUGGUGGACUAUUGGAUCAUCUUGGAUAUUACUACUUGAAUUCUAGGUUGGAGAUAACUUGUGCACUUGGAUUUGUGAUAUUUUGACCUAAGCUUAGUAGCUUCUGUAUGCUCCAUAUGGAUAUGAGCAUGGAGAUGAUACAAAUAGAUCGGAGUUGGUAGACUUUGAUGAUUUUGCUAACCCUCCCCAAGAAUGUUAUGAGUACAAGAUCAUCAUGGGAGGAUGAUUUGGAUUAAUUGGAAUAGAUGACAAUUUCUAUGGUAUGUGCCUUUUUGGGGCAGCUGAUCUUGCUUUUAUUAUGUGUUGGAUGCAAUAGUAGUAGGAGAGUAUGACUUAUGAAGUGAUAUUAUAUUCGUGGACAAAUAUAUCUUUAAUAAACCUUGGAACAAUUUGGAUUUUACUUAGGUGAUUGUGAUCUUGAAAAACAAAAUCUCGUGGAUGAUAACUUCUAAUUUUUGUAUCUAUAGUCAUCAAGUGCAAGCUUGCUUUAUAUUGGACUUUCAAACCGUGAUACUAGGCUUGGUUGGGUCAUGAUUAUGAUUUGUUCUAGAUUCCCACCUUUGAAGAUUGAACCUAGAGAACUUUUGGGUGUAGUAUGAUCAACCUGAGAUAUAUUGAAUUUAUAUAGGUGUAGUACAAUUAGCAUGAUUGUGGAAUUGGUGGACCAUUGGAUCAUCUUGGAUUGAAUUAGUUGUAAGGAAACAAAGAUCUUUGAGUAAUAGAAAUGGUGUUUGGUUAGAUGAUAGAACUACUUGGAUUCUAGGUUGGAGAUUAAUUGGGCACUUGGAUUUGUGAAUUUUUUUACCUAAGAUUAGUAGGUUGUAUGUGCCCCAUGUGGAUAUGAGCGUCGAGAUGAUACAAAGGGAUUGGAAUUGGCAUACUUUGAUGGUUUUGAUGGCCCUCCGUAAGAAUGUUGUGAGUGCAUGAUCAUCAUGGAAGGGUGGUUUGGAUUAAUUAGAAUAGAUGGCAAUUUUGUUGGUAUGUUCCUUGUUGGAGUAGCUGAUCUUGAGAAAUGCGCAUUCGCCGACUCACCAGAUCCGAACACCGACAACCCUUGUGCUAAUCACUGUUAACCUAAAAAGACCCACUCAACAUAUUGAUCAGACAAUUUGGUGCAUGAAGAACGUAGCAGAGGCAACCAAACAAACAAAGUGUCUAGUAGUUAGGAGAAUGCCCACAAAGACGCUCGAGAGGAAUAUCACCAUGUAGAGCAAAGGAAGUAUGAAUGUUGAUGAGAUAGGUGGCUACGAUCAUCAACGCACUAUCUGCCUUAUGAAGGUGCCGAUGCUUGCGCUCAGAGCGGCACCAUUCUGAGCCUGAGCACGAGGAUAAGAGAACUGAGCAAGUGUGAUAGCUUGCAUGUGCCCCAUAUGGAUAUGAGCAUCGAGAUGAUACAAAUGGAUCGAAGAUGGUAGACUUCGAUGAUUUUGCUAACCCUCCUCAUAUGUACUGGACUUAGAUAACUACGAUACUAGGCUGGUUGGAUCGUAGUUAUGAUUUGUGCUAGAUUCCUUCCUUUGAAGAUUGAAGAUGGAGAACUUUAGGGUGUAGUAUGAUCAACCUGAGAUAUAUCGGAUUUAUAUAGGUAUAGUAGGAUUAGCAUGACUACGGUAUUGGUGGACUAUUGGGAUCAUCUUGGAUAUUGCUACUUGGAUUCUAGGUUGGAGAUAACUUGGGCACUUGGAUUUGUGAUAUUUUGACCUAGGCUUAGUAGCUUGUAUGUGCCCCAUAUGGAUAUAAGCAUGGAGAUAAUACAAAUGGACCGGAGUUGGUAAGCUUUGAUGAUUUUGCUAACAACCCCCCCCCCCACCCCCCACCCCAAGAAUGUUACGAGUACAAGAUCAUCAUGGGAGGAUGAUUUGGAUCAACUAGAAUAGAUGGCAAUUUCAAUGGCAUGUGCCUUUUUGGAGCAACUGAUCUCGCUUUUAUUAUGUGUUUGUGCUAGUUUAGAUGCAAUAGUAGUAGGAGAGUAGUACUUAUGAAGUGAUGUUAUAUUGGUGGAUAAAUAGAUCUUUAAUAAGCCUUGGAACAAUUUAGAUUUACUUAGAUGAUUGUGGUCUUGAAAAAAAAUCUCAUGGAUAUUCUUCUAAUUUUUGUAUCUAUAGUCAUGUCAUCAACUGGAAGCUUGCUUUAUAAAAUUGGACUUGGAUAACCAUGAUACUGGGCUUGCUUGGAUCAUGGUUAUGAUUUGUGCUAGAUUCCCACCUUUGAAGAUUAAAGUUGGAGAACUUUUGGGUGUAGUAUGAUCAACCUGUGAUGUAUUGAAUUUAUAUAGGUGUAGUACAAUUAGGAUGAUUGUGGAAUUGGUGGACUAUUGAAUCAUCUUGGAUUGAAUUAGUUGCAAGGAAACAAAGAUCUUGGGGUAAUAGAAAUGGUGUUUGGUUAGAUGAUAUAACUACUUGGAUUCUAGGUUGGAGAUAAAUUGGGCACUUGGAUUUGUGAUUGUUUUACCUAAGCUUAGUAGCUUGUAUGUGCCCCAUAUGGAUAUGAGCAUCGAGAUGAUACAAAUGGAUUGGAGUUGUUGGCAGACUUUGAUAGUUUUGAUGGCCCUCCCUAAGAAUGUUAUGACUUAUACAAGAUCAUCAUGGGAGGAUGGUUUAGAUUAAUUAGAAUAUAUGGCAAUUUGGUGGUAUGUGCCUUGUUGGAGCAGCUGAUCUCGCUUUUAUAAUGUGUUUGUUCUUAUUUAGAUGAAGUAUUAGCAAAAGCGUAGUACUUAUGAAGUUGUAUUAUAUUGGUGGAUAAAUAUAUCUUUAGUUAACCUUGAAACAGUUUGGAUUUACUUAGGUGAUUGUGAUUUUGAAAAAAAUAUAUCGGUGGAUAAACUAAUUUUUGGAUCUAUAGUCAUCCAAUGGAAACUUGCUUUAUAUUGGACUUAGAUACCAUGGUACUUGGCUUGGUUGGAUCAUGCUUAUGAUCUGUGGUAGAUUCGCACAUUUGGAGAUUGAAACUAGAGAACUUUAGGAUGUAGUAUGAUCAGUCGGAGAUAUAUUGAUUUGUAUGGCUGUAAUGAUCAACAUAAUUGUGAAAAUUGAUGGGCUAAAUCAUCUUGGAUUGAAUUAGUAGUAAGGAAACAAAGAUCUUGGAGUAAUAGAAAUAGUGUUUCCUUUAAGAUUAGAUGAUAUAACUACUUGGAUUCUAGGUUGGAGAUAACUUGACCUAAGUUUAGUAGCUUGUAUGUGCCCCAUAUGGAUAUGAGCAUGGAGAUGAUACAAAUAGAUUGUAGGUGGUAGACUUUGAUGGCCCUCCCCAAGAACGUAUGAGUACAAGAUCAUCAUGGGACAAUGGUUUGGAUUAAUUAGAACAAAUGGAAAUUUCGGUGGUAUGUGUGCCUUGUUGGAGCAGCUGAUCUCGCUUUUAUUAUGUGUUUGUGCUCAUUUAGAUGCAGUAGUAGCAGCAGCGUAGUACUUAUUCAAAGAUGAAUCCAAGGGUGAAGGUUUGGUUUUGCUAAUUUCAAUCAUUAAGGUUCAUUAGUUAUUUUGAUAUUCUCAAAUCUUAUUGGAUGAUGUUUUGGUGUUGAACUCGAGUUUUUUGGUCACUCAUGAACGUGGAACUUGAUCCAUCAGACGAUCGCAAAUUCUCGACCCCUCUUGAUUCUUCGCUUGCUCAGUACAAUAAUUUAGUCUCCAAAGAUUCUGAUUUGGAUUAUUAUUAUUAUUGGUUGGUUCUCUAAAAAUUGGGAUUAUAUGGUUAGGGCCCGGGGUGACUUAUCUUCUUGCCGACCUGCGUUUGGAUGAUCAUUACUUUCUCUAUUUAAUUUUUUCCUCUCCACAUCUCACCUUUAGUCAAACAAUUCUAACUUGCAUUUAUUGGUGGUUUUCUAGAAAUUAGGGGUUAUACGGCUCAAUAGGGGUACUUAUCGUCUUACUGAUCUAUGUUUGGAGAUCAUUACUCUCUCCAUUUAAUUUCCUCCUUUGCAUUGUUCAAUUUUAGUCCCUUAUAACAAUUCUAAUUUGAAUUUAUUGGUGAUUCUCCAGAAGUUGGAAUUAUACAACCUAGCGGGGGUUGACCAAGCUCUUUAAAAAAUAGUCUUAAGACCAAAGGCAUUACCAAAAGCCGCCAACGGACCGACCACCGCCAUGACCUCAAUUUGCGCAAGGGUUUAUGAACAACACCACAUCAUCUGUGUACAAGGUUUAUGAACAACACCGGAUCAUCACCGCCAUGACCUCCUGCAUCACUGCUCGGCUAGGGCGAGGCUGAAUCCAGUCCUGCUCCUUGUUACAUCAUUUGGCACAGUUGACCCAAUGGUGUGGCAUCUCCUCCAGCGGCGGUGCACCAUCCUCAUCAUCACCACCACCUCCCUACGCCGCAACGGGUAAUCAGCCAGCCGCGGUGGAUAGAACGUGAUUUGAGUCCACGUGUACAAGCACCGGGUAGCAUAGGAGGCACACCUCCCCCUUGCCACCGUCAAGGCCGAAACCUGGCGAGAGGGAGACAUGCAUGAGCGGGUCGGGGCAGAAAGCACAUGGCUUCACUAAGCAUCUUUGUCGGCACCUCGUUGGGGUCGUCCACCCAUGCCCUGAUGACAAAGUACGAGAGGUCGAGCUUGUCGAAGGAUUCGAUGGCCAUAUGGUAGAUUAGGCAUUCGGGCAACAGUUCUUGGGCGGUUUGAGGCGAGAACUCCCACAGGGGAUGCGUUGGAUGGACAGCCUAACGCUGUAGCAGCAUUGAACAGCCUAACUGCAUCCACCCCACGAACCAUGUCGAACCACCGGCAGUGCGUGAAGCUGGCGAAGAAAGAUCCUAGCUUCAUGAGAGAGACCUGAAAGUCGUUUGUUCGAAAGCUCCGGGAAGUCGUCCUUGAUGCCAUCAACAAUUUUUACCAGGAUUAGAGACGACCUCGUACCCGCCACCAUGAGCACCAGCGCCAAAUCCCAUAGGUAAGAACAUAUCCUUGAUGAGGUACCUCGUCUUGCGCGAGCGGGUGUUGCCCCUCCACCGGGUUGUACACGAACCUAGCCGACAUGGAAGGCUCCAGCGACGAAAGGGCGGGUGGCUCCUUGUCGGGAAAGGUGAACCUAGAAUUAGCCGGCGAUUCGGGUGGUCGAGGGGUGGGGGGGGACCAGCUUGGAUUGGACUGAUUAGCGGCAGCGGGGGUGGCAGCUGCACUCACGGCCUUGGCGGUGGUCAAGGCGGGGCUAAGAGUAGUGAUGGACUCAUUAGCGGCGGCCAGGUCAUCAUGGCGGCGCAUGAAGUUCCUUCUGAAGCACAUCCUCUAGCCCAAGUGGUACAUUUGUUCAUUUGUGAUAUGUUCUGUUAGUGUUAUGUUCUCGUUGUCUCUUGCUCUGUUUCUCUUGCCCACAGGUACAUUUGUUCAUUUUCGUAGACCUGCUAUGUUCUAUUGUAAUUCGAGUUCAAAUGUCAAGUUGCGCCGCCACAAAAUGCUGCUACUUUAACUUCUGUAAGCGCAGGGAGUAGCGUAGGCGUCCGCUGCAGCUGCUCACAUGGAACGUAUGCCCUGUUGCAGCCUCGCAGAUCAGUUUAAGGUACUGUUAAUGAACCAAAAGUUAAUGUUGUUGGCCUUGCCAAAAUGCCAUGAAGCUUAACAUUCGAUAGUUCCUUCAAAGGGGUCCUUCAGCCUCCAAGGAGAAGGGAAGUGAUGUCUGAUAGGGAAAGAAACUAGGCGAAGCUCUGGAUGCUCGAUCGAGUACGCACCCAAUUAGCACUCUACUUCGUCGGUUGUCCACUGAAAUUUGCUCCAUGACAUCUUGCUUGCCAUGUGGUCACCUUACCUCAAAUUUGCUCCAUGACAUCUUGCUUGCCAUGUGGUCACCUUACCUCAAAUUUGCUCCAUGACAUCUUGCUUUCCAUGUGGUCACCUUACCUCAAAAUUGACAUAUUAUAAUCUAUGAACUACUACAAGUAAACUAUACAACCAAAUGAUUGUUCCAAAAAUUCAAAUUUGCACCAUGCUUUCCACCUGAUCUGCCAGUUUAACUAUCUUAAUUGUACCGCAGACAUUUGAUGUGUGGUAGUACGUGUGUGAUUAUAAUCUCUACAUAGACUUCAUAAUUAUGCCUGACUUUUUCUGAGGAAUUGUUGAAGUAUGCCUUUUAUUUGGGUUGUUUCUGCAUUUGCAGUGUUGGAGGUGUUAGUGCAAGAUUGUAGAGUUGGAAAGUAUAGUAAAACGUCUGUUGGUGCAGGGACUUGGUGAAGCCAUCAGCCUCGACUGUGUCUGCUUCCCCGAUGGUUUUGACUUCUGACUAGUGAUUCUGAUGCAUAUUACUUGAUGAUUCGGUCUUUGUGGCAGCUUUCAGUUUGAACUGGCAUUCAGUGGUUUCAUCCUCUUUGGUGCAGCCUGGAGUUAGUAGUGUGCACAUCUGAAUCUCUUGACUUUUUCCUGAAGCAUAUUACGUGGUUUAUGGUGCCUGCUAACUUGCAUGCGAUUUUUAUGGAAUCUGAUCUCGUUUUUUGCUCCCAGUAUAUACAAAAGGCUAGAAGUAAAUGAUGGAAGAUCCUUUGGUCUCAAACGAGGGUCCUACUUUCAUACCCAAAGUUUGUAUAGUAGAUAAUCAAAUAUUGGCCUUUAGCUUGCAAAUGUAUCACCUUAUAGAAGUAAAGGUUGCAUCUACAUGAGCUCUGAUUAUCUCCAUAUAUACUUGAAUUGCUUUGGGGUCACGCUUGGAUUUGUCAGACUACCAUUCUACAUGCUGUUCUCGAUGAUUACACUUGAUUUGUUAAUUUAUGUACCUUAUGUCAAAAAACAUUAUCCAAAAUUAGUUUUUGGUAUACGCAGACUUUGAAAUUUGUUGAUAGAGAAAGAUCACGCCUAAUUUGCUGGCUCUGUUGACACAGUACUGGCCUCCUGACUUUGUAGUUGGAUAAUGUUGAUGACUCGGUAUGCGGAGAGAGGUUAGGAAUUGUUGCUAUGGACUAAAACAAUGCAGAGUUGAAGGUUCUGAACUGGGAACUUGAACAAACAGUUUGCCUACCUUUCUUGUCGAAUUGAUUUUUUUAGAAGUGAAUGUUCUUCUGGUUGGUGCUUCUUCAGUGGGAUCUGGACCAUGGAAUUUUCAAUUGCAUCUGCUUGGUUCACUGGGAAUUUCCUAGUUUUAAUUUGAUUGACAACUAGCAAAACAGUCCGGCUAAUUUGAUGAUUAAUUCCUACUGAUUGUACAAUUUCAACUCAAGUUCCUGCUGAUUCUACACUUUUCAACCCAAGUUACAUUGUACCAUAUGCCAGUUUGUUUCAUACCUCGUCCAUCCUGGAUUUUUAGACGCAAAGCAUCUGGAUUUUAAAACAAGAAAUAACAUGUCUUUAACAAAAUUAUUCACUCAAAGACCAUGCCCAAGAUUGGAUCUCUCAUCUUUACAGUAAAUUUGGACAGCAGGGAUCUCUCAUCUUUACAGUAAAUUUGGAUAGCAGGGAUGUUCAGUAGAAACGCUAUAAUAGCAUGGAGGCAUUGUUUCUGAACUCGAGCACACAUGUGCUCUUUAUCUGGGCGGUUCGUCAUAGCGUUGGGAUGCGGUGCAUUUACUUUCUGUGUCAGGCUGUUGUUCACUGGAAAAGGGGGAAAUGCAGAAAUACGGCCGACGGGUAUCUUGUAUGGUGGGCCAGGUUUGUGGUGGAGGAGCACCUCCUUUAACGAUUCAAAACAGGGCUGUGGCUCAUGCCGUCAUUCCCGUCCUGAUCCGUGGCUCGUUUAGGGCCUCAGUAGCCGAGUAAAUGGAGGGAUGGGUUGCUGGGCAGAGUUCUCUCCUACCUCCGGCUCCUGGUUUUUCCUAUUAUCGAGUGAGGCUAGAUGGGCGGCGGAGCUUCUAUUCGAAGGAAACAAAGGCUAGCGCAGAAGAUGGAAUUUCUGAUGCAAUCGAUUAAAAGAACCACCGUGCUCGAGGACGUUAACGAUGGCAACGUACUCAUGGAGCCACUACACUGCCAGUGGUCGCAACCGUUGCAGAUCCGCUGCCGCCCAUGGCGGCAGUGAGUGCGGAAGGCCAGAUCUGUGCGGCUGAUGGCGUGGUCGAUACUGAAAUCGAUGGUUUACUGCAAGCAUCCGAGCAGUCGAUUACUCGAUUUGUUAGAUCGACCCAAAAGCCCCAGGAUGGACUCGAAGUGAGGAUCGGUGCUGCCGCACCAGGAAGGUCACCUUGUCCUAAUCGCACUAGUGCACUGGAGAAGGCAAUUCAUGGUUUUGCGGAAAAUCCAGGAGAUGAUGUGAUUGUCCCUGCACUAGGAACAAGCUUUGAUUGUUUGAGUGAAGCCUUCGACUAUUGCCAUUGGACUUUGAUUCUUUUGGGUGAAGCAUACGACUUUUACAAGCUUCGAUUCUUUGACAAAUCUAUAUUUUAGUAAUCCUCCUUGUUUCCUGAAACUGAUGUAUAGUGGUAUGGAAAUGGAUUUCUAAAGUGACAGUAAAUUAGACAACUAUUUUACGAUGUGUAGCCAAAAGCCAAAAGGAUAAUUGCACUAUUAUUAGAACCAAAUAUGAUUUCAGUCUGGAGAAAAUCUGCCUUUUC
Molecule: long non-coding RNA, 16742 nt
Organism: Triticum aestivum (bread wheat)
Lineage: Eukaryota; Viridiplantae; Streptophyta; Magnoliopsida; Poales; Poaceae
Exons: 7
Source: RefSeq, a predicted model, not a curated record